RNAcentral lists this ribosomal RNA (497 nucleotides) under uncultured bacterium. RNAcentral's name for it is "partial 16S ribosomal RNA". It matches the Rfam family "Bacterial small subunit ribosomal RNA", at positions 28 to 507 of the family's 1533-position model. The record is from RNAcentral.
GAUGAACGCUGGCGGCGUGCCUAAUACAUGCAAGUCGAGCGAACAGACGAGGAUCUUGCUCCUCUGACGUUAGCGGCGGACGGGUGAGUAACACGUGGAUAACCUCCCUAUAAGACUGGGAUAACUUCGGGAAACCGGAGCUAAUACCGGAUAAUAUAUUGAACCGCAUGGUUCAAUAGUGAAAGACGGUUUUGCUGUCACGGAUAGAUGGAUCUGCGCCGCAUUAGCUAGUUGGUAAUGUAACGGCUUACCAAGGCAACGAUGCGUAGGCGGCGUGAGGGAGUGGUAGGCGACCUUGGAACUGAGACACGGUCAAGGGUCCUACGGGAGGCAGCAGUAGGGAACCUUCCGCAAUGGGCGGAAGCCUGACGGAACAAGGCCGCGUGAGUGAUGAAGAUCUUGGGAUCGUAAAAAUCUGUUACUAGGGAAGAACAACUGUGUAAGUAACUAUGCCCGUCUUGACGGUACCUAAUAAGAAAGCAACGGCUAACUACGUG